UCAUGGUAGGCAACACCAUAUUGGACUGGAGCAUAUGCAGAAGAAGUCCCAUGCCAAGUAGGAAGUGGGAGAACACAUUGGACCCCUCCUCUUAGAGGCCUCAGCACCUCACCCCUUUUAAGAGCAAACAAAAGGAGCUUUGGGGCACAAAUCACAGUCUAAACGAUGGCAAUUCUUUAACAGUCUCCACUCUGAUCACUCACUGCAUCUGCAGCCACAGUAAAGGGAUCUCCAAACACUAUUCCAGUUAGACUUCAUGUUUAUCCAUUUACCUCCCUGCCGAAAGACUCAGAAAGAUGAACUGCUCACUCGAACAUCCCUAAGCUGCGCCCCCGGCCCUGCAUCCAUCAGGUGGUCACAGAAUGGUUACCUAUUCACCUGCCUUCCCACGUGCCAGACUGGAGAAGGAAGCCUCCUCACUGAAGGAAUGGUUCAGGCAAGGAUGUUGCUGAUAAGCCCACGAGUGUCCUCAUCCGAAUGUGCAGUGCUCGCCGUCCUUGGAGUGCCCGCCGAGAAGGCUGGACUGCCGCCAGCCUUAGCCUCGCCUUGUUCUGCCCUUGCCUCUCACUGUCUUGCCCUGAAAU
This is a non-coding RNA of Peromyscus maniculatus bairdii (prairie deer mouse), 584 nucleotides long. The record is from RefSeq and is a predicted model, not a curated record. NCBI's taxonomy places the organism in Eukaryota, Metazoa, Chordata, Mammalia, Rodentia, Cricetidae.